Molecule: ribosomal RNA, 741 nt
Filed under: Echinochaete ruficeps
Lineage: Eukaryota; Fungi; Basidiomycota; Agaricomycetes; Polyporales; Polyporaceae
Also listed under: 1 other name
Description: eukaryotic LSU rRNA
Rfam family: Eukaryotic large subunit ribosomal RNA
Source: RNAcentral
GUUGUAGUCUGGAGAAGUGCUUUCCGCGCUGGACCGUGUAUAAGUCUCUUGGAAUAGAGCGUCAUAGAGGGUGAGAAUCCCGUCUUUGACACGGACUACCAGUGCUUUGUGAUGCGCUCUCAAAGAGUCGAGUUGUUUGGGAAUGCAGCUCAAAAUGGGUGGUAAAUUCCAUCUAAAGCUAAAUAUUGGCGAGAGACCGAUAGCGAACAAGUACCGUGAGGGAAAGAUGAAAAGCACUUUGGAAAGAGAGUUAAACAGUACGUGAAAUUGCUGAAAGGGAAACGCUUGAAGUCAGUCGUGUUAUUUGGAACUCAGCCUUGCUUUUUGCUUGGUGCACUUUCUGAAUGACAGGCCAGCAUCAAUUUUGACUGUUGGAAAAGGGCUUGAGGAAUGUGGCACCCUUUUGGGUGUGUUAUAGCCUCUGGUCAUAUACAGCGGUUGGGAUUGAGGAACGCAGCGCGCCGUAAGGCAGGGGUUUACCCACUUUCGCGCUUAGGAUGCUGGCAUAAUGGCUUUAAACGACCCGUCUUGAAACACGGACCAAGGAGUCUAACAUACCUGCGAGUGUUUGGGUGGAAAACCCGAGCGCGUAAUGAAAGUGAAAGUUGAGACCUCUGUCGUGGAGGGCAUCGACGCCCGGACCUGACGUUUUCUGAAGGAUCCGCGGUGGAGCAUGUAUGUUGGGACCCGAAAGAUGGUGAACUAUGCCUGAAUAGGGUGAAGCCAGAGGAAACUCUGGUG